Orcinus orca (killer whale) is the source of this 957-nucleotide long non-coding RNA. RefSeq lists it as uncharacterized. The record is from RefSeq and is a predicted model, not a curated record. The transcript has 3 exons. Lineage: Eukaryota; Metazoa; Chordata; Mammalia; Artiodactyla; Delphinidae.
CAAGCGUGGGAGAGCCGCCAGCUCCGGCGCCGGCCGCGCGUCCUCAGGAGGCAGCCGCGGGGCGGGACCGAGCGGGCAGGCGCAGCCAUGUUCUGGGCCCCCGACAUGUCUGAGCGCCCGGACGAUGCGGCGGGAGGCCGCUCCCGCUGGGCGGCCGUCAAAAUCUGGGCAGGCGACGCGGGGGCUCCGCGGCCUCACUUGCAGGCCCGUCACGGCUGCUCUGCGCUGACCGCGGGGCGGGUCCCCGCGGGGCCACUUCCCAAAGUUCCAGCCCGAUGGGGGUUUGCCUCAGCGCCGGCGUGCAGAGAGCCAAGACCAGCUCCGAGAGCUCAGGGGAGGGCUUCGCAUCCGUUCAAGUGUGCAGCCCGAGAGGCUGGAACAAUUAAAAGCCUCGCGUCCCCAGAUGGAAGCUGAGGAACAGGCAUUACCUUCAGCCGCAGGGUCUCGUUUGCCACUUGAACUUUUCACUUGCUCAGCACCUAACCCAGACCCCCAACAGGUCUCUUUUGAUGGACGAUUGAGUUUAAUAAUCCUUGUCAAGCCAGACACAGCAGACGUUGAACCUAAAUCGUCGCGCACCCAGAUCCACUAGAGGGCAGGUCUACACCUGCUGAGUUCCAGCGCAUCCUGCAAAGAACUCAGGAGACAGGAAAAGAAACGUCCUUCCUUAUAUGCUUAGAGAUGAGGAAAUGAAGGAUGAGGCACAGAAGGCUUGAGAAACUUGCUGAAGGUUCCAUAGCUCAGAAGCCUGGUGGAUCCAGGAUUCAAACCAGAGUCCAAGCUCUUAUCCUCUACAUUCUUCUGCCGUUCUCAACUCUGUCGACGGAACCUCAGUUUGAGCUCUGGUCAACUCUGCUUUUUCCUGUCCAGACCUAUCCUUGGGAUCAAAUAAUAGAGAAGAACACAUCUCCAGUUCACUGUAGACAUCACUGAACAGGUUGGAACUAUUUUCUUUUA